GACGAACGCUGGCGGCGUGCUUAACACAUGCAAGUCGAACGAAGUGGCGAACGGGUGAGUAACGCGUAAUCAACCUGCCCUUCAGAGGGGGACAACAGUUGGAAACGACUGCUAAUACCGCAUACUGAAGGAGGGGAUUGCGUCUGAUUAGCUAGUUGGAGGGGUAACGGCCCACCAGGGCGAUGAUCAGUAGCCGGGCUUAGAGGAUGAACGGCCACAGUGGGACUGAGAAACGGCCCAGACUCCUACGGGAGGCAGCAGUGGGGAAUUUUCCGCAAUGGACGAAAGUCUGACGGAGGCACGCCGCGUGAGUGAUGACGGCCUUCGGGUUGUAAAGCUAUGUUAAUCGGGACGCGGUACCGGAAUAGAAAGCCACGGCUAACUACGUGCCAGCAGCCGCGGUAAUUC
Molecule: ribosomal RNA, 408 nt
Filed under: uncultured bacterium
Lineage: Bacteria
Description: partial 16S ribosomal RNA
Rfam family: Bacterial small subunit ribosomal RNA
Source: RNAcentral